UAAAGCUGGCCCUUCCCUCACCAAGCCGCAGGGAACACAUGGAAGAGCAAGGUUCGUGCUGGCCGUGGGCAGUGCCGUCUUCGACGCCAUGUUCAACGGGGGGAUGGCCACCACCUCCACGGAGAUCGAGCUGCCCGACGUGGAGCCGGCCGCCUUCCUGGCGCUGCUCAAGUUUCUCUACUCGGAUGAGGUUCAGAUAGGACCCGAGACGGUCAUGACCACG
Molecule: long non-coding RNA, 223 nt
Filed under: Ursus maritimus (polar bear)
Lineage: Eukaryota; Metazoa; Chordata; Mammalia; Carnivora; Ursidae
Description: lncRNA (ENSUMAG00000006041.1)
Source: RNAcentral